Molecule: ribosomal RNA, 253 nt
Filed under: uncultured bacterium
Lineage: Bacteria
Description: partial 16S ribosomal RNA
Rfam family: Bacterial small subunit ribosomal RNA
Source: RNAcentral
UACGGAGGAUGCAAGCGUUAUCCGGAAUUAUUGGGCGUAAAGCGUCCGUAGGUGGUUAGCCAAGUCAGCUGUUAAAGCGUGGAGCUUAACUCCAUAUCGGCAGUUGAAACUGGUUAGCUAGAGUGCGAUAGGGGCAAGGGGAAUUCCCAGUGUAGCGGUGAAAUGCGUAGAUAUUGGGAAGAACAUCGGUGGCGAAAGCGCCUUGCUGGGUCUGCACUGACACUGAGGGACGAAAGCUAGGGGAGCAAACAGG